AGUGGCGAACGGGUGCGUAACACGUGGAUACAUUCCGGAAAGCGGGGGAUAGCCCAGGGAAACUUGGAUUAAUACCGCAUGUGGUCGAGAGACUAAAGACGGGGAUCGAAAGACCUGUCACUUUCCGAUUGGUCCGCGGCCUAUCAGCUAGUUGGUGGGGUAAUGGCCCACCAAGGCGACGACGGGUAGCUGGUCUUAGAGGACGACCAGCCACACUGGAACUGAGACACGGUCCAGACACCUACGGGUGGCAGCAGUCGAGAAUCUUUCACAAUGGGGGCAACCCUGAUGGAGCGACGCCGCGUGGAGGAUGAAGGUCUUCGGAUUGUAAACUCCUGUCAUGCGUGAACAAGGUUGCUUGGAUAAUACCUGAGUAAAUUGAUGGUAGCGCAAGAGGAAGAGACGGCUAACUCUGUGCCAGCAGCCGCGGUAAUACAGAGGUCUCAAGCGUUGUUCGGAAUCACUGGGCGUAAAGGGUGCGUAGGUGGCGUGGCAAGUCAGAUGUGAAAGCCCGGGGCUCAACCUCGGAACUGCAUCCGAUACUGCCAUGCUAGAGUACUGGAGGGGUGACUAGAAUUCUCGGUGUAGCAGUGAAAUGCGUAGAUAUCGAGAGGAAUACCAAAGGCGUAGGCAGGUCACUGGACAGUUACUGACACUGAGGCACGAAGGCCAGGGGAGCGAACGGGAUUAGAUACCCCGGUAGUCCUGGCAGUAAACGGUGCAUACUUGGUGUG
This 734-nucleotide ribosomal RNA is filed under the name uncultured Spartobacteria bacterium. RNAcentral describes it as "bacterial SSU rRNA". It matches the Rfam family "Bacterial small subunit ribosomal RNA", at positions 94 to 824 of the family's 1533-position model. Lineage: Bacteria; Pseudomonadati; Verrucomicrobiota; Spartobacteria. The record is from RNAcentral.